GUAGGUGGCAAGCGUUGUCCGGGAAUUAUUGGGGCGUAAAGCGCGCGCAGGCGGUCCUUUAAGUCUGAUGUGAAAGCCCACGGGCUCAACCGUGGAGGGUCAUUGGAAACUGGGGGACUUGAGUGCAGAAGAGAAGAGUGGAAUUCCACGUGUAGCGGUGAAAUGUGUAGAGAUGUGGAGGAACACCAGUGGCGAAGGCGACUCUUUGGUCUGUAACUGACGCUGAGGCGCGAAAGCGUGGGGAGCAAACAGGAUUAGAUACCCUGGUAGUCCACGCCGUAAACGAUGAGUGCUAAGUGUUAGAGGGUUUCCGCCCUUUAGUGCUGCAGCAAACGCAUUAAGCACUCCGCCUGGGGAGUACGGCCGCAAGGCUG
This 374-nucleotide ribosomal RNA is filed under the name uncultured organism. Its description in RNAcentral is "partial 16S ribosomal RNA". It matches the Rfam family "Bacterial small subunit ribosomal RNA", at positions 527 to 896 of the family's 1533-position model. The record is from RNAcentral.